GACUAGGCCCAGCUAGAUGUUUCUUCUACCCUAUGUAACGAUGCUUGGGUUGCGUUAUCUGAAAGCUUAACUAGCUAGAAUGUUUAUGAUGACUCAUGCUGACAGCUGGUGCUGGCUUUCUGGGGGCAGUUCAGCUGGGCCAUCAGCUGGAAAACCUCAGUUCUUCUCUUCCUGGUUCCUCUGUAUCUGGUUAAAGCAUAUCAGAGGAGCAGCCUUGAUUCAAGGGAAGAUUUCACAAUGGUAUGACUAUUCAGAGGAGUGAUUCAUUGAGGGACUCCAUGUAACCAGCUCACACAUAGUCUAUAGGAACUGGAAAGGAAGAUGAAUUCUGUUUGCCAUUCCUGAGACUUUGCUAUACUUACCUGCUCUAGUCUGAAGCACAUCACAGCUCGAAAACAGAUGUGUGACAGGACACAGUAGCAGUGCUCUGUGCAUGUCCUCCUUCCUGUCCCUUCACCACUAAUCUCCACAUAUCCCUUGACAGACUCCUGUAACCCAAUAGUGUUUGGAGUGCUUCUUCCACUCGUCGCCCAUAGAGCUUUGAGAGAAAACCAUUUCAGGUUGCCUCAGCCAAACCUUUGUUAUUAAUAGCAGUUCCUAUUUCUGGAAGGCCAGGUGUUCUGCACCAAAAAUACAGAGCAGAGACACCAGAUAACCCCCUACUCAGAGACCGGGACCACUUGGGUCUCAUUUGCUCUGGGGUAAAUGGCAACUGAAAGCUGGAACCUUGAAUAAGAUGUAAGGGACACUGAGACUAUAUUGGCCAGAAGGCACCUUGCCACAGAGUUAGUGAAUGGACUGCAGGAGUCUGUGAACCUCCAAAAUUGCAGCUCUUCUUUGGAUUUUGUUCUUAAACCUCAAGCUGUUAUAAUUUUCUGUAAGCUCCAGUCAACGCCAGAUUCUGAAGGAAAGGCUCUUCAGAUUUCUGAAUGUGAACUAAAUCUGUCCCAGGAUGGGGAACACGUGUACACCCGUGGUGGAUGCAUGUUGAUGUAUGGCAAAACCAAUACAAUAUUGUAAAGUAAAAAAAAAAAAAAGAAUCUCAGGUUUCUAACAGCUGAUGCCAGCCUAGCAAGCACUAACAAUACAGGCUAAAGACAAGAUCCAAUGAGGCCGGUGAAGACUCAAAGAGCAGCCAAGGGCCUGCAUGAAGACCGUCGGGCCCACACCCCAUUGCUAUGGCAACAGAGGAGACUCCCCCAUCUCCCAGCUUGAGGAGGAAGAUUUGAAAACCUGAGCAUUUACCUGAAAGAGAUCAUUUUAAACCAAAGGAGAUGGACAUAUUGUUAAUUGGCUCAUUUAAAGUUCACAUUUGUUUCUCUGCUUACCCCAGGGCUGAAGGUUCUUGAAAAAAAUUCAGUCAGUUAUAGAGAAAUAAAGAAAUUACACUUUCUUUGUACAA
This is a long non-coding RNA of Bos taurus (domestic cattle), 1402 nucleotides long. NCBI's taxonomy places the organism in Eukaryota, Metazoa, Chordata, Mammalia, Artiodactyla, Bovidae. The record is from Ensembl.